AACGAACGUUAGCGGCGCGCCUAACACAUGCAAGUCGCACGAGAAAGGGCUUCGGCCCCGGUACAGUGGCGCACGGGUGAGUAACACGUGGGUAAUCUGCCCUCGAGCGGGGGAUAACAUUCCGAAAGGAGUGCUAAUACCGCAUAAGACCACGCCCUCGAAAGAGGAAGCGGUCAAAGCUGGCCUCUAUACAUAAGCUAGCACUCGAGAAUGAGCCCGCGGAGCAUCAGCUAGUUGGUGAGGUAAUGGCUCACCAAGGCUUAGACGCUUAGCUGGUCUGAGAGGAUGAUCAGCCACACUGGAACUGAGACACGGUCCAGACUCCUACGGGAGGCAGCAGUGGGGAAUCUUGCGCAAUGGGCGAAAGCCUGACGCAGCGACGCCGCGUGAGUGAUGAAGGCCUUCGGGUUGUAAAGCUCUGUGGGGAGAGAAGAAUAAGUGCGGGCUAAUACUCCGCAUGAUGACGGUAUCUCCUUAGCAAGCACCGGCUAACUCUGUGCCAGCCGCC
This 508-nucleotide ribosomal RNA is filed under the name uncultured bacterium. RNAcentral describes it as "bacterial SSU rRNA". It matches the Rfam family "Bacterial small subunit ribosomal RNA", at positions 29 to 516 of the family's 1533-position model. The record is from RNAcentral.